This 292-nucleotide ribosomal RNA is filed under the name uncultured bacterium. Its description in RNAcentral is "partial 16S ribosomal RNA". It matches the Rfam family "Bacterial small subunit ribosomal RNA", at positions 505 to 796 of the family's 1533-position model. The record is from RNAcentral.
GUGUCAGCAGCCGCGGUAAGACGUAGGAUGCAAGCGUUGUCCGGAAUUAUUGGGCGUAAAGAGUUCGUAGGCGGUUACUUAAGUCUGGUGUUAAAGACGGGAGCUCAACUCCCGCAUGGCAUUGGAAACUGGGUGACUAGAGUGUGGUAGAGGUCUCGGGAAUUCCAGGUGUAGCGGUGAAAUGCGUAGAUAUCUGGAGGAACACCAGUGGCGAAAGCGCGAGACUGGGCCAUAACUGACGCUGAGGAACGAAAGCCAGGGUAGCAAAAGGGAUUAGAUACCCCUGUAGUCC